This 627-nucleotide ribosomal RNA is filed under the name Cantharellus pinetorum. RNAcentral describes it as "partial large subunit ribosomal RNA". It matches the Rfam family "Eukaryotic large subunit ribosomal RNA", at positions 88 to 754 of the family's 3401-position model. Lineage: Eukaryota; Fungi; Basidiomycota; Agaricomycetes; Cantharellales; Hydnaceae. The record is from RNAcentral.
UGCGAGUGAAGAGGGAAGAGCUCAUCAUUGGAAUCUGGCAGUGUUGCACUGUCCGAGUUGUAGAUGAGGAGUAGUCCGUCUGGACUGCAUGGCGUCCAAGUACAAUAGGCCGUCAGUGGGACAUCAUAGAGGGUGACAAUCCCGUCCUUGAUGCCAAUGUGCAAGUCCAUUACGAUGGCUAUCUCAGAGAGUCGAGCAGUUUGGGAUUUGCUGCUUAAACAUGGGAGGUAGAUUCCUUCUAAAGCUAAAUACAGGCGAGAGACCGAUAGAGAACAAGUACCGCAAGGGAAAGAUGAAAUAGCACUCUGUGAAGGGAGUCAAAAGGCGUGAAAUUGUUGCGAGAGAAGCGAUUCAAGUCAGCGUAGCUAGGCCCAUCAAGCCUUUUUGCUUUGGACUAGCUUUGCCAGCGGUCUUGUCCCUUAAAAGGGACUUGACUUGUAAUGUGUCCAGCCUGGCGUGCACAGGCAGCCCCUUCUGGGGGCCAGUGGCAUGGCUGGUGGAAUGGCUUGCAAUCGACCCGUCUUGAAACACGGACCAAGGAGUCUAACAUGUAUGCGAGUAUAAGGGUGGCAAACCCGUAUGCGCAAUGAAAGUGAUUUUCGAUGAUUGAGAAUGGCCUGAUGACCA